UAUGAUUUGGCCGGAGCAAAUGUAUGGAUACAAGCGAGAUAUUUGAUAUAAUAGUGUAGUAAUCCGUGUGAUACGAUGAAUAGAUAAUUAAAGAAAAAAUAAAAAAACGGCGAUAAAGGAAGAGGAAACAGUAACAUAAGAAGUGAUGAUAAAGGAUAGGAUUCAUCUUAUAUAUGAAGGCAGGUAACAGUCGAAGGAAGUAGAAGAGGAACAGUUCGGCCCAAUGUAGAGAUGUGGCCCAGUUCGGCUCAAGCAAAGAAAGAAAAAAUUCAGUUUGAUUUAAAGAAAGAAAGAGAAAAAUAUGUGGAGAACUUGAGCUGGUUCGAGGGAGCCCAUACGCAAUAAUGAUUGGUUCGGUUUAAGCAAAGAAAGUGAAAAAUUCGAUUCAGUUUAAAUAAAGAAAAAGAAAAAGAAAAAUAUGUAGAGGAUUUGAGCCAGUUCGGAAUACGGUGAGUCCACAUCAAACAAUGAAGGAAAUGUUGACAUAUGGCAAAUUUAUAAAAAAUAAUGUAUAGGUAUAAAGGUAUAAAUAUGCGGAGUUUGAAAAUAGGGUAACAACUAAUUGUCCAGUACAGUUGGUUAGCAUCUGAAUUGUGAAUUAAGAGAUUAGGAGUUUGAGAAUUAGAAUGAUAUUUACGAAGAGUUUAAUAAAAAUUGUAUUACAUGCUGCGAGCAAGUAUGAGAGAGAAAUAUUUUAUUUAUUUUUAUACGUAAUAUUACAUUUCACAUGUCACAACGAGUUACGAUAUUUUUUGUACAGUUUCACUAGAAAAUAUAGAAGCAUAUUAUUAUAUGUUUUCGCUCCAUCUCUGUUUUGCCUAUUUAUGUAGUGGAGUUUGAUCUAUAGAAAUAUAGAUGUAGCAUGAUCUAUAGAAAUAUCUUAUUUAUUUCUGUACAUAAUAUUACAUUUCACAUGUCAAUGAGUUGCGAUAUAUUUUUUACAGUUUCACUAGAAAAUAUGAAAGCAUAUUAUUAUAUGCUUUCGCUCCAACUCCAUUUUGCCUAUUAAUGUAAAGAAGCCUCAAUACUAAACAGACCCUAAAUGGAUUAUUUGACCAUUAGUCCCCCAAUGUUUAUUCGAUAUUUUUUUAAGUAGUUCCCAAAGUUUUUUUAUUAUUCUAACAAUGAGGUUCCUACACUUUAGCAUUUGUUUCAAUUUAGACACAGACAUUAAGAAUGCUAGUAAUCUUAAUAAUAAUUAUCAUGUGAAAAGAUGUAAUUGGUGUUGACAUGGAAUUGAUGCGGCAAAUAAUAAGAUUCUGUUUGGAUGUCAGAAUAGAUUAUUUAAGAAUAAUUUAUUUAGUGUUUAAAUUUUAUUGUGUACUUGAAAGUUAGGAGUUUGAUUUUUUGCUUCUUAUAGUUCGUGCCAUUUCUGAUUUAAUAGGAUAGCAUAUUUUACUUAUAAUACGAAGCUUUUUAUUCAGAAAAAAUGACUUUGAAGGCUGAAUUUAUGUAUCUUCUGAGUAAGUUAAAGAAAUAUAGCGAAUAAAACACUCGUACAUUUAAACAGGACAAACAUAAUUAGGGAUGUCUAUUGGUACGGAUAUUCAAAAUUUUAUCCAAAUCGGAAUGGAGUCGGCUUACUUGAUACCAAAUGAAGAUGGUUUUUAAAUAUAUGAAUAUGAAAACUGAAAACACGACAUAUUUAGAUUCGGGUAUGGAUUCUGUCAGUACCCAAUCCGAACCACAACCUGAUUUGAUCCCAAAUUGAUUUUAUAUUGUAUAAUAUACAUGAAUAUUUGAUAUUAUAUUUAAAUGUGUAUUUUGAAAGUUUAGAUUGUAAUAUAAUACGUUUUGAAAUAUUGUAAAAAAAAAAUAGCUGUUUCGGGUUCGUGUUCAUAUUUCAGAUUUGGUUGUCGGGUUCAAGUUCGUGUUUUUAAAAUCCGCCCCGAAUUCAAUCCGUUGACAUGUUUAAAAAUAGGGGAGUAAUG
Molecule: long non-coding RNA, 1931 nt
Filed under: Ananas comosus (pineapple)
Lineage: Eukaryota; Viridiplantae; Streptophyta; Magnoliopsida; Poales; Bromeliaceae
Description: long non-coding RNA (ACOM_LNC039071)
Source: RNAcentral